Molecule: long non-coding RNA, 316 nt
Filed under: Capsella rubella
Lineage: Eukaryota; Viridiplantae; Streptophyta; Magnoliopsida; Brassicales; Brassicaceae
Description: long non-coding RNA (CRUB_LNC004445)
Source: RNAcentral
UGAUAUGAUCUAAGACUUUAAGAUUCGACUGAUGCAUGGUACGUUCAAGUUGCAAACCCCCUCUUAUAUGUGCAUCUAUUCAUCGGAUCUUAAUGUCUUAUAUGUGUAUCACCUAUUCGGGUGUAAUAGUACUCAUGCAUGGAUCACAAUAUAUAAACACACAUCUAUCUGGAUCUAAGAUUUUUAAAUCACAACAAAACAUGUCUAUAUGCAUGGAUAUGAUCUCAUAUUCGGAGAUCACAAUUAAGACACAUCUAUUUGGGUCUCAUUCUCGCGGAUCACACUGAACCCUAGGGCUUAAAUAGUGUGCAUCGGC